Molecule: ribosomal RNA, 468 nt
Filed under: uncultured bacterium
Lineage: Bacteria
Description: bacterial SSU rRNA
Rfam family: Bacterial small subunit ribosomal RNA
Source: RNAcentral
GAUGAACGCUGGCGGCGUGCUUAACACAUGCAAGUCGAACGGUGAAGGCGGAGCUUGCUCUGCUGGAUCAGUGGCGAACGGGUGAGUAACACGUGAGCAAUCUGCCCCUGACUCUGGGAUAAGCGCUGGAAACGGCGUCUAAUACUGGAUACGAGCUGCGAAGGCAUCUUCAGCAGCUGGAAAGAACUUCGGUCAGGGAUGAGCUCGCGGCCUAUCAGCUUGUUGGUGAGGUAAUGGCUCACCAAGGCGUCGACGGGUAGCCGGCCUGAGAGGGUGACCGGCCACACUGGGACUGAGACACGGCCCAGACUCCUACGGGAGGCAGCAGUGGGGAAUAUUGCACAAUGGGCGCAAGCCUGAUGCAGCAACGCCGCGUGAGGGACGACGGCCUUCGGUGUAACCUCUUUAGUCAGGAAGAAGACGAAAGUAGACGGUACCGUGCAGAAAAGACGACCGGCGUAACUACGU